UCCGCGUUCAAAGUCCGCCUACGAGAGCAUGCAGUUCCUACUCUCUUGCUACCUCAUCCAGUACAACAAGGUGAUAGAGCACCUGAUGCAGCAAGCACCGAUUCAUCCUUUGAUUCCCCUCAGCUCAUGCAAGGUUGCGCUGAAGGCUUGCUGCUGCUUGCACAGGUUGCUGCAACUUCUCAUGAAGGCCUCCAAGCUUGCCUCUCCACACCUGCAUCGC
Long non-coding RNA from Rhipicephalus sanguineus (brown dog tick), 220 nucleotides. RefSeq lists it as uncharacterized. The transcript is spliced from 3 exons. The record is from RefSeq and is a predicted model, not a curated record. Lineage: Eukaryota; Metazoa; Arthropoda; Arachnida; Ixodida; Ixodidae.